Symphalangus syndactylus (siamang) is the source of this 3048-nucleotide long non-coding RNA. RefSeq lists it as uncharacterized. Lineage: Eukaryota; Metazoa; Chordata; Mammalia; Primates; Hylobatidae. The record is from RefSeq and is a predicted model, not a curated record.
CCUCUGUCCAUUCCCCCUGCCCAGCCCCAUCUGUCUCCUCUCCAUUGCGCCAUGUGUCUGUCUUUUCUGUCUCUUUGGGUUGGUCUCUUCCCACAUCAGUGUCUGUCAGUCUGUCACUCUGCAUGUCCAUCUCUUUCUUGCUCUGUCUCUGUCUCAUUCUGCGCAUCCACUCCGGCAUCUCUGGGUCCCCACGUUGCUAUCUCCCUGGGGGUCUUUGUCUCUUUGUGCCGGGUCUUUUUGCUCUUCUCUCUCUGUGUCUCUCUCUGUCCGUCUCUGCCUCUCUGUGUCUCUGUCUUCCCUGAGAGUGUGUGUCUGUCUGUCCAUCCACUGGGUCUCAGGCAACUGAAAAUACCCCCUGCGUCCUAUUUGAUGUGCAGUUGUGAGAUUCCCUUUGAAUAUUGCAGCAGCGAGUUGACGGUUGCCAAGGGAACGGCACCAAUUUGGUCAUCAUGGGGAUUAACAGAGACGAUCCCUGCACAGCACCCAGCACGGUGUCACACGGGCCUGGCUGGCCACACACCAGCCUCUGCUGUCCAAGUUAGAGAAUGCUGUGAGCUUGGACUGGACUUGAACCAUAUGCUUCUGGAGUGGCCGUGGUUGUUUCACUAGCACUUACUCACUUGUACACCAGAGUCGUCUCUACCAGUGCAGAACUGAGUUGAAGAACAAGGCUGUCACCACCCUGAGGACUUCCAGCCCCACCCAGCCAUUGCUUCUGCGGGACCAGACUGCAGGGAGCCAGCUCUUCCCAACAAGAACCCCCAGGAGGGAAGGGUUUCUCCCUUCAGCCCCCCGCCCCUCAUCCCCCACAGGCAGCCUGAAGUCUAUCUUCUGUCCCUCCGUCUCCGGUUGCUUUGACCCCAUCUGUUCCCAUUAGUUAUCCUACCUCUUUCUAAGAGAUGCCCAGUGAGGGUGGGGCUGGGUAGUGGGGACCGUGCCACUGCUCUGUCCUGGAGCGUGCAUGUGGCUCUGUGUAGUUUCUCCUCAAGGUGGAAGCUUCUCCUCUCUUGUCAAGCCCUGGUCCCAGCAGCUCCAAGUGCCAGCUGAUGCUGCCCAGGGCGUCUGAGCUGUGUUUCUUACAGUCUGCAGGAAAUGUGGUCCUGUAGUCUCAACCACUGGGUGAGAGGGAACCAGUGUUGGAGACGAGACUGGGAGAAGGACACAGGUAGGGGUUAAGCUCUCUGUGGAGGGUGCACCUGCAGAGGGAGGUGGUGGGAGGAUAGUAUGGGCCCCAGUGUCAGGAGGGCUGCAGUGAAGAGGUGCUGUGGGCCUCGGCUGGUGGGGAGGCCUUGGAAAGGUGGAGAGAAAGGGGCUGAGCACCUCCUGGGGCUCUCUAGCAGCCUGGACCUGUGCCCCAGUGCCUGAUAAUCGAAUUAGGACUGACUGAUGCCUUUAAAGACUUCUUUUGGCAACUGGCCUUCCCUCCCCAUGAGCCUCCCAGCACUAGGUGGGAGCCGGAGUUUUAUAGAGGUGCUCUUUAGUUUUUAUAUUCUGAUGUUUUGGUAUCUUGGGGCUUUGCUGACCUUGGAGGGACCACUCCUUCCAGUUCCUAGAGAUAGGAGAUGUCUCCCUGCCAGCGUACCUUUUAUAUGCAAACCACCCAGUCCAGAGCCCACACCCAGCCAGCGCCUCUCACACUCCGGACCGCUGUCCUCCUACCCUAUACCCCCAGGGCCAGGAUCAGACACCCAGGGACAGAUCUGUGUCCCAGAGCCCCAAAAUUAUUCAAAUGAAUUAACCGUAUAUCUGCUUACCUAGCUUGCUGUUUCUUCUUGUGUAUUCUGUAAUGGAGGCUCCUGCCCACAACCCCCUCUCCCUCUGCCUCCUGCCGACCCGCUGCUUCUCAGCAUGGCCCUGCGUGGAGCACCCCACGCUGUUCCUCAGGAUCUGUGAGUAACCAGCCCUCUUUCAAAUGGCAGUCUGCUCCUUCUCUGCUGGCCUCACCACACUGAGCAUUUAAUGCAGCCUCCCAGGGUGUGUGCCAGGCCCCUCCACGUGCCCCUGCAAGCCCACUGCCUUCUUCCUCUUCUCGGGGCCCUGGAAGGCUGUCCUUGGCAAGGAUGACACCUGCAGGCUCUGGGCUUCUGGCUUCCAGGUAGCUUUGAAGACACCAGCCAGAAGCUUAAGGGCAGGGGGAGAGUGAGGUUGGGGGGAUUACCCCCCUGCCCCUCCCUGCAGGGCAUGGGCUCUCUGAGCCCACGGCUCUUCUUGGGUGCCCCGCUCCCAUAGGGGUUCUUUCUCUGGGUUCUGGGAUGUGCUUUCUCUUUUCACCCUGCAGGUCUUGUCACGGCAAGGGCUUCCUGCUGUCGCUGGCCCCAAGUGCUUCACCAUCACCAUUUCCCUGAGCCCUGACCACUCUUUGUAAAGGGUCCUGAGUGAAAUGCUCCUUCAUUGUUCCACUGGUAGGCACCCAUGGUGGAGGGGGACCCACGUGAGGAGAGGCAGGGGCAGCUCCUCAACCUGGGGACGACAGGUGCUUGCUGCCUUCUGAAGGCGGCAGGGGCCGUCUGUGGUCCUGGAACGCGGUGGCAGUCUCGGCUUAGUUCCCGGAUCCUCGUAUACCCAGGCAAACGUCACCUGCAGAAGUUUCAAGCCAGCCUGGCGUAGACUGCUCUCGCCACACGUGCGUGGAGCCUUGGAGACACCUGGGGUGCCAGCUUCUGGGCUGCAGCCCCAAGAGACAAACAACCUGCCGUCUCCCUUCCCUCUGUGUGCACAGCCUGGCUUCAUUAGUGGGGAGGUGAUGAUCUAAUUUCCUCCAAACAAAUGUUUGGGAUGUAGAGUUUUCCUUCAACAAUGAGCAGUGGCAGACGGUGAGAAAUCUGCUUGCACCUUCUGGGGCUGGGUGGGGGAGCCACCCUGACAUGCCUGCCAGGCUGGCAGGCACUGCCUACUGUGGCCUGGGGUUUCCUCACAUCCCGGCCUGGGACAUGACUGGCUAGAGCUAUAAGAAGGAUGAUGCUGGUCCAUCAGUGGUGGUGGUAUAAGGCAGGCAGACUGGCAGGAGUUCUUCCUACGACCCCUCCACCAGCUCAGAGUUGGGGAGCC